UAUAUCCUACGGGGCGCAGCAGUAGGGAAUCUUCCACAAUGGGCGAAAGCCUGAUGGAGCAACGCCGCGUGGGUGAAGAAGGUCUUCGGAUCGUAAAACCCUGUUGUUAGAGAAGAAAGUGCGUGAGAGUAACUGUUCACGUUUCGACGGUAUCUAACCAGAAAGCCACGGCUAACUACGUGCCAGCAGCCGCGGUAAUACGUAGGUGGCAAGCGUUAUCCGGAUUUAUUGGGCGUAAAGGGAACGCAGACGGUCUUUUAUGUCUGAUUGGAAAGCCUUCGCUUUUACCG
RNAcentral lists this ribosomal RNA (290 nucleotides) under uncultured bacterium. Its description in RNAcentral is "partial 16S ribosomal RNA". It matches the Rfam family "Bacterial small subunit ribosomal RNA", at positions 333 to 615 of the family's 1533-position model. The record is from RNAcentral.